This 373-nucleotide long non-coding RNA is filed under the name Gossypium raimondii (Peruvian cotton). Its description in RNAcentral is "long non-coding RNA (GRAI_LNC009110)". The record is from RNAcentral. Lineage: Eukaryota; Viridiplantae; Streptophyta; Magnoliopsida; Malvales; Malvaceae.
AGUCUUUCAGGGAGACCCUGAUUUAUGGCAGAGACAAACUCUAGUUCGAAGAUGUGAAGGGUCAUUUGUUGAGUAGAGACAAACUCGACAAUGAGUUUGGUUUGAAUAGCAAAGCAGAUAGACAAGCUUCCGUUUUGGUAGCAUCAAAGAAACGAGACAAAAGGUGUCGCUAUUGUAAAAAGUUAGGUCACGUCAAAGCAGAUUGUUAUAAACUGCGAAAUAAAAGAGUUGCUGAGAGUAACGAGGAAGAUGUAGCUGGUGCUAAUUUGGUCGAUGAAGGUGGUGAUGAUUUCUUGUUAGUGUCAACGAGCGAUAAAUCCAAGCUUACGUCUGAGUGGAUCCUAGAUUCAGGAUGUUCUUUCCACAUGUGUCC